Molecule: small RNA, 1359 nt
Filed under: Rattus norvegicus (Norway rat)
Lineage: Eukaryota; Metazoa; Chordata; Mammalia; Rodentia; Muridae
Description: uncharacterized LOC102548672
Source: RNAcentral
UAAAUGUUCUUCACUUUUUAAAGAAAAAUAAAAACCAUAAAAAUAAACAACCUCUCAAUUACUUCUUUGGCUUAAAUUCCCUAAUUUCCUUUUAGUAAUUUACUCAAAUUUUCCCCUAGUCACUAAAGGUGCGUAGCAUUUGCGCAUUUAUUACACUUCCAGAGCUAGCGUGAGGAUAUAAAAGCCUAACUGUUGUCGUGUCUGUGCUGUUUGCUCCAGGGAUGGUUAUCUAAUCAAAUUUAACUCAAUAAAGGGGGAUAGUAGGCUCUGCUGAGAUAAUUUCUCGCUAAGAGUUGAUAAUAUGGUAAGAACCUAUAAAACCUGGUCUCAUCCACUGUAGGUGUUGUAUUUAGUAUAAUUCUAAGAAGCCAAAUUGUCAUGCUUGGACUCUCCCAGGUGGCCAGACAUGAAAAGGAUGGAGAAAAUAUGUACUCAUGGCUAGAUGUUAGAUUUGAAGGAUGGGUGUGAUUCAUUUAUUUAAAAGAGUGAUUUGAGAGAACAGAGGAGAAUAGGUUCUAGUGUCACAGUGUUAGCAAAAGUGUCACUACUCAUCAUUACCCCUAAAUCCUGUUUCAGGCUAGACCCAUUUUUGUCCAUCCAUAAUUAAUAAUAGUUCUAGAAUGUAUGCAAUUAGUUUCAUAAGCUACUUAUCACACUUUUAGAAGGUUCGAGUAGGUAUUCGAAGCCCACAUGUCUUGGGUGGCUACUCUCCUUUAAUAUUUAAGUUUCGCAUAAUUACAUAGCAAUAUGCUCUUUUCUUAUGCUCUUAGGUUUAUUUUUAAGAUCAUUACUUUGUCAUAAAUAGAACACCAGAAGGAAUUUUUUCUUUGUCCACAUUUUUUUGUGAAUGCAAACACUGAUACUUUGAUCUCAGUAGAAAGAGAGCAGCUGUAUUGGCAACUGCACCUAAAUAUCAAAACAAAAAUGAAAAUUCUAGGCCACUGUACACUGCUACUACAAAAUACAUAAAAAGUCACCAGCGAGCCUGACGCUUACAAUGACCAAAUAGUUCUAUAUAUGAUUAACAACUAAGUGUUAAUUGAAGUCUAUAAUGUUCCAGAAACCUGCCCAUCCUGCCAUCCUUUCCUUCCUUUCUUCCUUCCUUCGCAUGCAUUUAAAGCAGUUGUGUGACUUUGACUUGGCUCUCUCUGUACAGCUUGGAAAUAGAAUGUGGGGAGAAUUGUAAAGAGCUUUGGAUCAGAGAGGAAGCAACAUGCAUCCUCUGCAGGCCAUUGAAAUAGAAGUGCACAAAAAAGGAAGAACAACGAGUAGAAAGAAAUGCCUGUGCCUGUGAAUGAAAAUGCUUCUCAAGAAUGUCUUACCAGAAGUUGUCUUCACUACUUCAGUGGUAUUCCUCAA